UGUAUAAGAUAGAGAUACGUCAUAGGCGUACACAAAACGUAUAUUUAUAUGCGCGAUGUGGCACAAUAGAUGACGGUGUCUUUAAGACUCACGUUACAUAAAUUUACGACACAGGAGGUGGCUGGUCGCAGGACGAUAUAUGUAUAUCUAUAUACGCAUCACGGAUCCUUGCACCUUACGCAUACCUUUCUGCCACGUAUUUAUAUAUGUAUGUAUGUACUCAAAUACACAGGACGCAGCUGAAUUUUAGGUUACGAAGGAAUGCUGCUACUCUGGGGGCGGCGUCGUCGGAGAAAAUGGAAUGGGAGGAGAGCAGAGGGUAGUUUUUGCUUCUUUCCGAGGCGACAACCGAGACGCGAAAAUCGGGGAUACCCGAAGUCGGAGCAGCGAAGUGUGAACGCGAUACCAGAACGUACGCCGCAGGCAGGCGGCUACACGCGGGGCGGGACGCUCGGCGUCGCAGCAGCCAUCAAGGAUCAACCGCCGUCCCGAGUACGCGACCGGUGCCCUUUCCUUCGGGGGUAACAAAUGCAGGGUUCAAACUAGAUUCUCUUCGCCUCUGCAAUCGCGGGCCGCAAAGAGUCUGAGACACAAUGCUAACAAGGGCUACAGGUUGAUUUUUUACCUGCGCGUGUGUUCCCAUAAGGGCCGUGGGGGACCCCCUGGCCAUACCUGCACACCAACCGCCGCCUGAAGAGAGAUGAUAUUCGACCACCGGCAGCUGUCCGUAUCGAGUCUCAUUCUCUUAUGCGGCAGUAAACUACUGUCCGAGUUCAAUGCGGGUACAACCGAUUCAGCUUCGACAGGAGGCAUUCGGACGUUUAUGUCCACGUUUCGACGCACGUGCGAUAAGGAGCAUACUCGAGGUACUCCGCACGGUUAAUAAGAGGACAGCUUCUGCAGUGUGGACGUCUUGAUAUUUCGGCAGGUCGACGCACACCUAUACCUACAACAUACAUUGUGGAUAUAUCUAUAUCGCUGAGGGACCACGCGCCUACAACCGUAACACAAAUAAGAACCACUCGGAACUCGAGACAGUUAUCGCCCCGGCGAUGCCCAAUCAGGAAUCUACGCUCAUCCGGGGUUAAUUAAAAGAUGAUUACCUAAUGAGGAUCAUCGUAGGAACAUAAAAUCCCACGGGUCCUGAUACAGGGAACCGUGAAAUAACACAGCCCGGCCAUGGACUCGGAAUUAGGUAUACAUAUACUCAAAGUUUCAGAAUCGGAAAUCUGAUUGCGUCUGCAUGCGCGGUGCCAUUUUACUCACAUAUUUGGAUAAUGUACGC
Molecule: long non-coding RNA, 1285 nt
Organism: Neodiprion fabricii
Lineage: Eukaryota; Metazoa; Arthropoda; Insecta; Hymenoptera; Diprionidae
Exons: 3
Source: RefSeq, a predicted model, not a curated record